Molecule: ribosomal RNA, 509 nt
Filed under: uncultured bacterium
Lineage: Bacteria
Description: partial 16S ribosomal RNA
Rfam family: Bacterial small subunit ribosomal RNA
Source: RNAcentral
GACGAACGCUGGCGGCGUGCUUAACACAUGCAAGUCGAACGGAAAGGCCCUGCUUUUGUGGGGUGCUCGAGUGGCGAACGGGUGAGUAACACGUGAGUAACCUGCCCUUGACUUUGGGAUAACUUCAGGAAACUGGGGCUAAUACCGGAUAGGAGCUCCUGCUGCAUGGUGGGGGUUGGAAAGUUUCGGCGGUUGGGGAUGGACUCGCGGCUUAUCAGCUUGUUGGUGGGGUAGUGGCUUAACAAGGCUUUGACGGGUAGCCGGCCUGAGAGGGUGACCGGCACCAUUGGGACGGAGCGCCGGACAACGUCAGGAGGGGAGGGAGGCGUAGGCAGAAUCGAACGAGGGGCGGAAGCGUUCGGCGGCAGGGCCGCGGCCGGGUUGCCGGCCUUCGUGUUGUAUCGCGCGUUCGCGUGUGACGAAGCGUGAGAGAAGGAGAUGCGAAAAAACGCACCGUCUACCUUCGGACCAGCCGCCGCGGUAAUAAGCGGAACAGCACACGUAUGAUC